GAUGAACGCUGGCGGCGUGCCUAAUACAUGCAAGUCGAGCGAACAGAUGAGGAGCUUGCUCCUCUGACGUUAGCGGCGGACGGGUGAGUAACACGUGGAUAACCUACCUAUAAGACUGGGAUAACUUCGGGAAACCGGAGCUAAUACCGGAUAAUAUAUUGAACCGCAUGGUUCAAUAGUGAAAGACGGUUUUGCUGUCACUUAUAGAUGGAUCCGCGCCGCAUUAGCUAGUUGGUAAGGUAACGGCUUACCAAGGCAACGAUGCGUAGCCGACCUGAGAGGGUGAUCGGCCACACUGGAACUGAGACACGGUCCAGACUCCUACGGGAGGCAGCAAUAGGGAAUCUUCCGCAAAGGGCGAAAGCCUGACGGAGCAACGCCGCAUGAGUGAUGAAGGUCUUCGGAUCGUAAAACUCUGUUAUUAGGGAAGAACAAAUGUGUAAGUAACUAUGCACGUCUUGACGGUACCUAAUCAGAAAGCCACGGCUAACUACGUG
RNAcentral lists this ribosomal RNA (497 nucleotides) under uncultured bacterium. RNAcentral's name for it is "partial 16S ribosomal RNA". It matches the Rfam family "Bacterial small subunit ribosomal RNA", at positions 28 to 507 of the family's 1533-position model. The record is from RNAcentral.